This 168-nucleotide ribosomal RNA is filed under the name Neosalanx anderssoni. Its description in RNAcentral is "partial 12S rRNA". The record is from RNAcentral. Lineage: Eukaryota; Metazoa; Chordata; Actinopteri; Osmeriformes; Salangidae.
CACCGCGGUUAAACGGGUGGCCCAAGUUGAAAAUCACCGGCGUAAAGAGUGGUUAGGGAAACAAAAAACUAAAGCCGAACACCCUCCAGGCCGUGAUACGCUUCCGAGGGCAUGAAGCCCUACUACGAAAGUGGCUUUAAUACACCUGAGCCCACGACAACUAAGACA